UUUCAUGUUGGAACACAGAAAGUCGGAAACGGUCCGCCGCCGGAGGACGUGACUGCGGCCGAUUAGGUAGACGGUGGGGUAACGGCCCACCGUGCCGAUAAUCGGUACGGGUUGUGAGAGCAAGAACCCGGAGACGGUAUCUGAGACAAGAUACCGGGCCCUACGGGGCGCAGCAGGCGCGAAACCUUUACACUGCACGCCAGUGCGAUAAGGGGACCCCGAGUGCGAGGGCAUACAGUCCUCGCUUUUCGUGACCGUAAGAAGGUCUCAGAAUAAGAGCUGGGCAAGACCGGUGCCAGCCGCCGCGGUAAUACCGGCAGCUCGAGUGAUAGCCACUAUUAUUGGGCCUAAAGCGUCCGUAGCCGGCCGAACAGGUCCGUCGGGAAAUCCACCUGCUCAACAGGUGGACGUCCGGCGGAAACCAGUCGGCUUGGGGCCGGGAGACCAGAGAGGUACGUCCGGGGUAGGAGUGAAAUCCCGUAAUCCUGGACGGACCGCCGGUAGCGAAAGCGUCUCUGGAGAACGGACCCGACGGUGAGGGACGAAAGCUUGGGUCUCGAACCGGAUUAGAUACCCGGGUAGUCCAAGCUGUAAACGAUGCUCGCUAGGUGUGGCGUUGGCUACGAGCCAGCGCUGUGCCGUAGGAAGCCGAGAAGCGAGCCGCCUGGGAAGUACGUCCGCAAGGAUGAAACUUAAAGGAAUUGGCGGGGGAGCACUACAACCGGAGGAGCCUGCGGUUUAAUUGGACUCAACGCCGGACAUCUCACCGGCACCGACAGUGUGCAGUGACAGUCAGUCUGAUGGGCUUACUUGAGCCACUGAGAGGAGGUGCAUGGCCGCCGUCAGCUCGUACCGUGAGGCGUCCUGUUAAGUCAGGCAA
This 880-nucleotide ribosomal RNA is filed under the name Halorubrum trapanicum. RNAcentral describes it as "bacterial SSU rRNA". It matches the Rfam family "Archaeal small subunit ribosomal RNA", at positions 163 to 1041 of the family's 1478-position model. Lineage: Archaea; Methanobacteriati; Methanobacteriota; Halobacteria; Halobacteriales; Haloferacaceae. The record is from RNAcentral.